GGAUGGGAUGGAGGCAACCCUGACGCAGCGACGCCGCGUGUGUGAAGAAGGCCUGCGGGUUGUAAAGCACUUUCAGUGGGGAAGAACGGGUCCGGGCCAAUACCCCGGAUCACUGACGUUACCCACAGAAGAAGCACCGGCUAACUCCGUGCCAGCAGCCGCGGUAAUACGGAGGGUGCAAGCGUUAAUCGGAAUCACUGGGCGUAAAGCGCACGUAGGCGGCCCGUUAAGUCAGAUGUGAAACCCCUGG
RNAcentral lists this ribosomal RNA (250 nucleotides) under uncultured bacterium. RNAcentral's name for it is "partial 16S ribosomal RNA". It matches the Rfam family "Bacterial small subunit ribosomal RNA", at positions 359 to 606 of the family's 1533-position model. The record is from RNAcentral.